Molecule: long non-coding RNA, 814 nt
Filed under: Mytilus galloprovincialis (Mediterranean mussel)
Lineage: Eukaryota; Metazoa; Mollusca; Bivalvia; Mytilida; Mytilidae
Source: RNAcentral
AAUACGGGCAGAAUCAAUUUGCGCCAAUUGCAGUUUUGAAAAGGUAUUAAUUGCGCCACUCUCUUUUAUUUUGAGGGUAUUAUUUGCGCCAAUAAAUGAAAUGAAAUUGCGCCACAUUUACCUGUUAAUAUUUUUUACCUAUAUCAUACCUGUACAUGUUUUACCUAAAUCAAGACAUAACAAGACAAAUACUAUAUGAAAGUCUCGCCACUUGUUACAUAUAAAAUAUACAGCUUUUUAAACACACAAGUUAACAACAAGGGCCACUCUAUAAAGAGCUUUGAGAGACUAUAAAACAAUUUUUUCUUAAAAUUAUAAUGCAAAUACAAGUCAACUAUCACGAGUAUAAAAUACAUUUUCGCUUCAAAAUUGAAGAUGAAAAUUUAGAAAAGAAAGAUUUAAAAUAUGUUUGUCAGUCUAUGUAUAUAGAGAGAAGAAAACUGCGUCCGGCUUAAUCUAACAAUCGAGCAAAAUUUCACAGAGUAUUGGAUGAUAUUGGUGUUGUUACAAACAAAGAUGAUGACUUUGUAUUGUGUAACGAUCCAACAAGCGGUAUAAUUUUAUUAGGAUGCGAGGCUAAUUUGAAAUUUCAGUGUACAAUGUCAGAGGAAUUUUUUGCUGUUGAUACCUAGUCAAUCAUUUAGUUGUUAUACAUAAAUAAAUAUAUAUAAAAUUGGCGCAAUUAGAUGAUUAUUUUAUUGGCGCAAAUGAUACCUAUAGUUUUGAAAAUUAGGUGGCGCAAAAGAGGUAUUGGCGCAAUUAAGUUGUGGCGCAAAUGAGUUACUUUUUGGCGCAAAAAGAUAUCGCCCGAUAA